GUAGGGAAUAUUGGACAAUGGGCGAAAGCCUGAUCCAGCCAUGCCGCGUGAUAGAUGAAGGCCCUCUGGGUUGUAAAUAUCUUUUAUCUGGGAAGAAACUCCUCUAUUCUUAGAGGCCUGACGGUACCAGAGGAAUAAGCACCGGCUAACUCCGUGCCAGCAGCCGCGGUAAUACGGAGGGUGCAAGCGUUAUCCGGAUUCACUGGGUUUAAAGGGUGCGUAGGCGGGUUGAUAAGUCAGUGGUGAAAGCUCCGGGCUUAACUUGGAAACUGCCAUUGAUACUGUCAGUCUUGAAUGUCGUAGAGGUAAGCGGAAUGUUGCAUGUAGCGGUGAAAUGCUUAGAUAUGUUACAGAACACCAAUUGCGAAGGCAGCUUACUAUGCGAUAAUUGACGCUGAGGCACGAAAGCGUGGGGAGCAAACAGGAUUAGAUACCCGGGUAGUCC
RNAcentral lists this ribosomal RNA (445 nucleotides) under uncultured bacterium. RNAcentral describes it as "bacterial SSU rRNA". It matches the Rfam family "Bacterial small subunit ribosomal RNA", at positions 354 to 796 of the family's 1533-position model. The record is from RNAcentral.